ACGGGAGGCAGCAGUGGGGAAUAUUGCACAAUGGGGGAAACCCUGAUGCAGCGACGCCGCGUGAGUGAAGAAGUAUUUCGGUAUGUAAAGCUCUAUCAGCAGGGAAGAAAAUGACGGUACCUGACUAAGAAGCACCGGCUAAAUACGUGCCAGCAGCCGCGGUAAUACGUAUGGUGCAAGCGUUAUCCGGAUUUACUGGGUGUAAAGGGAGCGUAGACGGCGAGGCAAGUCUGAAGUGAAAUGCGGGGGCUCAACCCCUGAACUGCUUUGGAAACUGUUUUGCUAGAGUGCAGGAGAGGUAAGUGGAAUUCCUAGUGUAGCGGUGAAAUGCGUGGAUAUUAGGAGGAACACCGGCGGCGAAGGCGGCUUACUGGACUGUAACUGACGUUGAGGCUCGAAAGCGUGGGGAGCAAACAGGAUUAGAUACCCUGGUA
This 434-nucleotide ribosomal RNA is filed under the name uncultured Lachnospiraceae bacterium. RNAcentral describes it as "partial 16S ribosomal RNA". It matches the Rfam family "Bacterial small subunit ribosomal RNA", at positions 341 to 792 of the family's 1533-position model. Lineage: Bacteria; Bacillati; Bacillota; Clostridia; Lachnospirales; Lachnospiraceae. The record is from RNAcentral.